Molecule: long non-coding RNA, 450 nt
Organism: Cebus imitator (Panamanian white-faced capuchin)
Lineage: Eukaryota; Metazoa; Chordata; Mammalia; Primates; Cebidae
Exons: 4
Source: RefSeq, a predicted model, not a curated record
CUUUGUUCCAAACACAGUCUCUAACUCUUCUCUCCUGUUCACUUGCCGCUGGCUGUGUCUUGACCAAUGAGGUGCUCCUGCUCAAAAGCUGAGAGCUCUGCUGACCCUGUUUCUGUCCAGUCAAAACACACCUGUCUUCAAAGAGCCAUAUGUUUCACAGGAAGAGUUCAUUCCCCUCCAUACCCAGAAGAAGGCUGAUACCAUGUGUUUCUCUAAACUUGGACACAAGGAAGAAGAGUCCAAAAUAUCAACAGGGAAGAAUCUGCAAGGAAUAACCGAGAAGAAAAACUAACAUCUUGCAUCACAGAGAGUUGGUUUCCCCUUCAAACUCUUCCACCAACUUGGAGGGCACCAUCAUGGAAAAAUACAGAAUAGAAGUGGAUACUGGUAUCAGAAGAAAACUGGAAUUCUACAAAUAUACAUCAGGAUCCCACUCUGUCCCACUAUCAU